Molecule: non-coding RNA, 634 nt
Organism: Carassius auratus (goldfish)
Lineage: Eukaryota; Metazoa; Chordata; Actinopteri; Cypriniformes; Cyprinidae
Source: the annotation of a RefSeq genome assembly
AUGGUGAUGACCACAGCCCCUGGCCUGUAUGAGGCAAACUGGUUAGUGUCAGUGUCAGUUGGAGUACAGGAGGUUUUUGUACAGCCACUGAUUGAGUUUGUAUCAGUGUGGUACACGUUCGGUGGAGGCACCCGGCUCUCUGUUGGAACUGCGGCUCGUCCCGCUCUCACAGUGCUGCUGCCCUCCAGAGACGAGCUGCAGCAGGGGAAGGCUACAGUGCUGUGUGUGGCCAGUAAGGGAUACCCCUCUGACUGGAAGCUGAGCUGGAAGGUGGACUGCAGCAGCAGGAGCUCUGGUGUGGAUCUGAGUCCCAGUCAGCUGCAGAAGGAUGGACUGUACAGCUGGAGCAGCAGCCUGAGCCUCACUGAGAGUGAGUGGAGCAGAGCAGCAACCGUCAGCUGUGAAGCCACGCACCCGUCCCUCACUGCAGUCACCAAGAGCCUCAACACAAAGCAGUGUGAUGACCAGUGAAAUACACCAACAGACACACUGUCCUUAUUAAGCCGCUGCUCAACAAUUAAUCUUUCGUGCUGUUAGUAUAUUUUUCAUAUAGGUCUUAUUGUUGUGAUUCUACAUCUGCCAUGCUUUGAAUGUUUUAUGUUAUUCUUGCUGCCAAAUAAAAGCAUUUUGACUC